This 937-nucleotide long non-coding RNA is filed under the name Brassica napus (rape). Its description in RNAcentral is "long non-coding RNA (BNAP_LNC004570)". The record is from RNAcentral. Lineage: Eukaryota; Viridiplantae; Streptophyta; Magnoliopsida; Brassicales; Brassicaceae.
AUUUAUCAAAUUAUAGGAUCAGUCUAACAUAUAUACACAUUAUAAUUUUCUUUUAAUUUUGUGACAAAGUUACUUUGGUUUCUUUCUUAUUCUUGAUUUAUUAUUCUCUAUUUUCGAGUAAAAAUACAAACUUCAAAAAAUACAAACUUGAAAUCCCAAUAUGAUCAGAAACUUCAUCACUUUUCCACAACUCUAUUGAAGGCACGUGAACUCGCUAUCUUCCAACGCUGCAUAUGUGAUAAGUUACAACUUACACGUAGGACAUAUCAAACAAAAAUUUGGUGAAAAAAACUUCUUUUUCAACGGUGUAAGCUAAUCUCUUUUCUCUUUUUUUUGUUUGUCUAAUUUGAUUCUAGGGAGGCAUGUCAGGAAUAUGCAGGCCACGCUGAAAAACUAGCGUUCAGACUCUUAGAACUCAUCUCAUUAAGCUUAGGCUUACCAAAAGAGCGUUUUCAUGAUUACUUCAAAGAACAAAUGAGUUUUUUCAGGAUAAAUCGUUAUCCACCAUGUCCACGGCCUGACCUAGCUCUAGGUGUAGGCCACCACAAAGACGCAGAUGUUAUAAGUCUAUUGGCUCAAGACGACGUUGGAGGGCUACAAAUUAGUCGCAGAUCGGACGGUGUUUGGUUUCCUAUUAGACCCGUUCCUAAUGCUCUUGUCAUCAAUAUUGGCAAUUGUAUGGAGGUAAAAUUUUUCAUAUUAUAUCUCAUUUUAAAAUAUAUAAAUUUAAAUAUCGAAUUGUAAUGACUAUAUAUACUAUUAGGUAUGGACAAAUGAUAAGUAUUGGAGUGCAGAACAUAGAGUGGUGGUGAACUCAACAAGGGAAAGAUACUCAAUACCGUUCUUCUUGUUGCCUUCACAUGAUGUGGAAGUGAAACCAUUAGAAGAGCUUCUGAGUCCUGAAAACCCUCCAAGAUACAAAGGAUAUAAAUAUGGC